This 83-nucleotide transfer RNA is filed under the name marine sediment metagenome. RNAcentral's name for it is "tRNA-Tyr". It matches the Rfam family "tRNA". From Rfam's summary of the family: Transfer RNA (tRNA) molecules are approximately 80 nucleotides in length. Their secondary structure includes four short double-helical elements and three loops (D, anti-codon, and T loops). Further hydrogen bonds mediate the characteristic L-shaped molecular structure. tRNAs have two regions of fundamental functional importance: the anti-codon, which is responsible for specific mRNA codon recognition, and the 3' end, to which the tRNAs corresponding amino acid is attached (by aminoacyl-tRNA synthetases). tRNAs cope with the degeneracy of the genetic code in two manners: having more than one tRNA (with a specific anti-codon) for a particular amino acid; and 'wobble' base-pairing, i.e. permitting non-standard base-pairing at the 3rd anti-codon position. The record is from RNAcentral.
GGGUAGGUACCUAAGUAGUCAAAAGGGGCUGACUGUAAAUCAGCUGGCGUUUGCCUUCGGGGGUGCAAGUCCCUCCCUACCCA